UCUUUCUUUCUUUCUUUCUUUCUUUCUUUCGAUAGAAUUCUGCUAAAUUGCCUAGGCUGGACUUGAACUUCUGAUCUUCCUGCUUCAGCCUCCCAGAGAGGUAGGAUUACAGCAUCCAGAUCGCUGGUGGCUCCUGGUCCCCAAGACUGCCUGAGCCGCGGAGUAACCUCAGGGCGGAGGGCACUCCUGUCUCCAUAGUCUGUGGCGCCAGCCGCCUCUUUCUCAAGGAAGAGUCCACAGACAAGGUCUCACAAUGUAGCCCAGAUCCUCCUGGCUCAGUCUCCUCAGUGCUGGGAUUACAGGCGCAUCACAUGUCCAGUGGCAACGUCUUUUACUGACCAGAACCAACAGGCGUUUUCGCAAAGUGCUGCGCAACAGCGGGGUCCUCCGUUCUGCCUCUUGGAGCAACUCGCUUGCCGCCCAGUCACCGUCGAUCAGUCACUAUCGGGUAGAGCCAGAGUCCAUCAUUCGCGUUCAGUUCACCGAGAAGUCAGAACGCAACUGAAUCCGACCGCAAGAUCUGGGGAUCCUAGUGCCUGCUGUUUGUUUCGGCUACGAAACACCGCGCGAUUCCUAGGGCAACAACUCUGGACUAAAUCCAAGUCCUGCCAGGCCCAGCCCUUUCGUAGUCUCGCCCAACCACCGCCCCCAAGAUGAUAUCCAAUCGUAAGCCCCGCUCGCCCAAAACUCUGCC
Heterocephalus glaber (naked mole-rat) is the source of this 694-nucleotide long non-coding RNA. Lineage: Eukaryota; Metazoa; Chordata; Mammalia; Rodentia; Bathyergidae. The record is from Ensembl.